RNAcentral lists this long non-coding RNA (1857 nucleotides) under Sorghum bicolor (sorghum). RNAcentral describes it as "long non-coding RNA (SBIC_LNC008146)". Lineage: Eukaryota; Viridiplantae; Streptophyta; Magnoliopsida; Poales; Poaceae. The record is from RNAcentral.
GCGGUUCAUCAAUCCACCUUUAUAAAGGAGUUGUGUACUGGUGAGACAUCUAUUUUGAAACUCUAAGUUUAAGACAUCCAACCCUCUUGAUCUCUUAGUAUACAAAUUACCUCCCAUUUAGUUAAUCUAUAUCCACACGGUACUGAUAAAAAUACAAUCACGGUUAGACAUCAAGGAUGAAGGCAGCUUAGAUAUGUGUUGCAUGUAUUGCUUGGCGACAUCCAAGCAGCGAAUUGGGUGUUUCAUAGCCACAAAAUAAGUGUAUUUGAAUAACUUGUCAACAACCCACUGGUACACGACAGGCCUUUUGUCCCGGUCGAAAACCACUUGUAGUCCCGGGUGACGAGCCAGGACUAAGGGAUCGGGACUAAAAGUCCCACCUUUAGUCCUGGCUCUCCGACCCGGAACUAAAUGGGGACAUUUAGUCCCGGUUGGUAAUACCAACCGGGACUACAUGGGGCACCAGGCAGUUACGUGGCGCCACCCCUGGCCACCCCUUUUAGUCCCGAUUGGUAUUACCAACCGGGCCUAAAGGUUUUUUUUUGUUUUUGUUUUCUUUUUCUUUUUCCUUUUCAUUUCUUUAUUGAUUUUGGUUUUCAAUUGUAUAUGUUCUACAAUUUAAUCAUAUACGCCGCAAUUAUCCGUAUACGUUGCACCUAUACGAGAGCGUCAUUAUUGCACACAAAUAAAGUAUGAAACUACAUAUAUAUAUUAUCCGUAUAAUAUAUAAAUCUAUAUAUAUUAUAUAGCUAUAAACAUAUGUACAUACACAUUACAUUUACAAUAAUAAUAUUAUGUACAAGUAAUAAUCAAGUGUGCUGCCAACGGUUAAUGAUUACAUAAUGUUUGCCCGCCCACUCAAAGCUCAUACAAGUGUUCGUCCUUGUUUGGAAUUGGCUUGAAGCCCUGCGGGUAUAAGUGGAACUCGCCGUCUUCCGGAAUGACAUGAUCGUUGAUAAAUCCGGCGAUCGUCUCCUGGACUCCAAGUAGUAAUGUGUACUCGAACACUUUAUCUUUCAUAUUCCACUCCUUCUAUUUGCAUUAGUUAAAAAGAUAUUAAUAUACAUAAAAUCUAUUUAGUUCCAACAAAUAAAUAAGAUAUGAAUUUACUGUAUACACAUGCAUGUUACUAUUUUAGAACACUUUGAGUAGGUUUAAAUAGGGUGCACCGUAUAAAUUCACAAACAUAGUAUCUACAUAGAUUCGUUCCAAACGGCUGCGUGGGCACCCAAGGGAGUAGAACAGGAGGAGGAAGUGACACAUUCAGAUCCGUACGAUAUUUUUGUUGUAGCCAAGCCCAAGCCCUGCCCAAUAAGACGCUCGUUGAUUAGGUAUAGCUAGCAGAAUAAAGUAAAGGAGCACGCAUCGAUAUUUAAAGUAUGAUAUAUACUUACCUCUAGAUCAUGUCUGUUAUGUCUUGAUAGAGUGCCAGGUCUUUUUUUCAUUGAGUCCCACACAUGUAUUUUUUUUUCCGUGAUCUUAAUCUCAAUGAGUAUCCAAUGAUCUCUGCAUUUGUUUAGAGUCAACUUAUAUAUGUAUAUCUUAAUGCCGGAUUAACUAAGACAUGAUAUAACACAACACUUACCCCAUAUUGUAAGGAAAGAGUAUCUUCUCCGUAUGCCUUUGGUUAUAAAAGAACCUCCGGAGGUUCUUCUCCAUUUCCUUAGGCUUCAGAUUCAAUGGAUCUUUAGUUUUAGUGUCCUUGUACACGACAUAUGGAUCGAUUAAACCAAUUCGAUUGUCUUUUUUCAAUCUUUGUUCUCUCAUCAUGUGUCUGCACAUCGUGAGCGUAGUUAUUACGAAUACAUACAUAUGCUAUAAUGGGAUUAAUGAUUGAAAGGAAGAAUCACUUACAGA